Molecule: long non-coding RNA, 2562 nt
Organism: Thunnus maccoyii (southern bluefin tuna)
Lineage: Eukaryota; Metazoa; Chordata; Actinopteri; Scombriformes; Scombridae
Exons: 3
Source: RefSeq, a predicted model, not a curated record
AAACUGCUGCACUCAUUUCGCACCUGCAGUAAUUAAUGCGCGUCACGUGCUGCUGCUGCACACGUCGCAUUUCUGAGGAAAGUUAGAUAACAAGCAGCGUUGUUAUGUUGCUUUAGCACAAUUUUAGCUGUUGUUUCGAGACUGGUCCUCAGCUACGGGACAUAAACGAGUUUCCCCUUGAAAAAAUAAAUUCUUGACACAGCUUCACUUCAGCGAGAAACACGAGAAAUCCAAUCAGCCAUCGACCUGUCAACACUGACUGAGACACACGAUCGUUACUUCAAAUGGAAAACAAACCCGACCUCAAAAGGACGAGGAAUGCCAGAAAUCCCUCUGAGUCCAACAUAUUGAGUCUAAUCCACAGAUCACUUCAGAUCAGCUGAUUCAUCGUGAUGAAGUCAGACUGUCUAGUUAAGGCAGGCUCUCGUCCUACAUGGCACAUAAAACUGAAACCAAGUCCCACAAAGUGGCCAAAAUUCAUCAGUUGCAUCACUGACAAUUAUCUCUGUUUCUCAGCAAAAUUUCUUCCACAGUAAUGAAACUUUAAAAGGGGAAACAGCUUCAUCUACCUUUAUCAAAACUCAAUUUAACGUUGAUGCUAAUUUUACAUUUUAGCUUUCAUUAAAAUUAAUGUCAAAUGUUCAAAUAAUAAAACACAAAAUAAAUAAUAAAAACAAGACUUAAAAAAAACAAACAUAAUCUCAAACCAGGUACAUGUGUUCAUAAUGUUUAAUUUUCAAAUAACUGAUGGCAAAAUGAGAAUAUUUACAAGAGAAAAUGUGUAUGAUCUGUACAAAGAAAUAUACAUGCAAAGAUAAAAAACAAACAAACAAACAGCAAACAUGUAAAUUAUGAAACAAAUAAAACUGGAAACACAUGACAAAAAAAAAAAAGACAAACAACAAAAAACAAAAACAAAACCUAAACUGAGGUAUCCAGUUCAAGUCUCCUUGUUUUUAACGGCCUUUGCAAACCUUUUAAAAUAAAUAAAAAGGUAACAGAGGACUGUUUUCUGUUCGUGGUAGAGUAAGUGUGAACAUGAUACAUCCUAACCCCAUAACGGAUUAAUUUGUAGUUUAUGGUGGUUAAACUCUUGUUCUAAUCAAAUAAAACAUCACUAGUUGGUUAGUUUCUGUUUUUUGGGGAAGUUGUUUCUAAUGAACAGGAAUUUAUGAAAGACAUAUUUUGGCAAUAAGUGUCUGUACAUAAAGUUAAACACCAUUUAACAAAUGAUGUAUGAAAACCCUCCAACUCAACUCCUCAUAUUAAACUGCAAUGCUCCAUUCUUUGUGAAUUACAAGAGGAAUUUAUCGCUUUAAUCUCCUGCCCUUUUAAUAAAGGGUAUAGGACAUAAAAUAACCCAACCGUAUUCUUUCAACGUAGUGUUUUUAACUAGUGUAAACAAUGAUUUCACAUGGCCAUAGUAUAUCUAACUCAAGUGAAACAUAAUCACAAUAAAACAUUUUUUUUUAAUUAAGUACUAUAAAGCUAGAUUAACUUUGGUGUACCAAUACUACGUAGGCUUACUGUACAAAAAGUGUUAAAUAAUAUUUGAUGAUUGUAGAUUGUGACCUGUAACGCUGGCCUGGAAGUCAGAACACUCAAAAAGAUCAAAUAAACACAAACUACCAGCAGUGCUUGCAGUACCAAGUACAUGCUUUUCUCUAGAUUUAUUACAGAUACAACAGAUGUCUUCAUAAAUAGUUGCAUAAAAUGUUAAAGCCGCAACAUUGCACAUGAUAAUCAAACAUAACAUACAAUGAGUGCAUUUACAGUAAAUUUGUCUUCCUCUGCCUCCACAUUCACUCCCACCUUACUGGCAAAAUCGCUGCUGCCACUGAGGCUCCGACAGUCGCUCGUUCCUGCCGUCCAAACGCAGGAGUCUGCUGUGAAUGUGAGGGGAAAGAAGGCAGUUGAAGUCUAUAUACAAGGUAAGGCUUAAACAUCUCAUAUCUGCGCAACACAAGUUUUGUUCUAGGAAAAGCAAACGAUGAAUGUCUAUUGUUUUCUUCUCAGAUUGGACAGUGCAGCAUUGUUACUUGCGACAUGGUCAUCAUGGUAUCUUAGAUUAGGUACGUUUAUGUAAGCGCAGCCGUCAAAAAGCUCUGAUCGCACGUAUAAAUGUCUCAAUAAAGUCAAGAAGCUCAGUCACUGUCUCCAGGAUCGGGGUGUCUACAGAGUCCAAAGUAGCACAGCAACUUUCAACUGAUGAGCGUUUUUCUACAACUUGUUCUAUUUUCUUUGAAACGUAGAGACAGUACUUUUCCUUUCUAUACAUUGUUUCUAUAAGAAAGGGGAGCUUCUCAAAAGUGUUUGAGUUACAGUUUAGUGUAAAAGAGCAAAAACACACAAUGUCUCUGUCCCUCUCUAGCCACGAGAGGGGAGGGCAGUUUGCUCUCAGCGCUAUCACGAGCUUUGUUGGCAUCACUUUCUCCUGAAAGCUCUGCGUCUGUGCAGUGGCGUCAACGCUCGAUCAACUGGCUCUUCUGAUCGGCUUGAACUCUUGCAAAGGAAAAUAAAUAACUUUUUUUUUUUUUUUUUUAGAUUUUUGUUUACUUAACU